This 28-nucleotide non-coding RNA is filed under the name Mus musculus (house mouse). Lineage: Eukaryota; Metazoa; Chordata; Mammalia; Rodentia; Muridae. The record is from RNAcentral.
UAAAAAAACAAAAAGGUUAGACCCCAGC